RNAcentral lists this ribosomal RNA (381 nucleotides) under Clostridium perfringens. RNAcentral's name for it is "bacterial SSU rRNA". It matches the Rfam family "Bacterial small subunit ribosomal RNA", at positions 1 to 378 of the family's 1533-position model. Lineage: Bacteria; Bacillati; Bacillota; Clostridia; Eubacteriales; Clostridiaceae. The record is from RNAcentral.
UUAAAUUGAGAGUUUGAUCCUGGCUCAGGAUGAACGCUGGCGGCGUGCUUAACACAUGCAAGUCGAGCGAUGAAGUUUCCUUUGGGAAACGGAUUAGCGGCGGACGGGUGAGUAACACGUGGGUAACCUGCCUCAUAGAGUGGAAUAGCCUUCCGAAAGGAAGAUUAAUACCGCAUAAUGUUGAAAGAUGGCAUCAUCAUUCAACCAAAGGAGCAAUCCGCUAUGAGAUGGACCCGCGGCGCAUUAGCUAGUUGGUGGGGUAACGGCCUACCAAGGCGACGAUGCGUAGCCGACCUGAGAGGGUGAUCGGCCACAUUGGGACUGAGACACGGCCCAGACUCCUACGGGAGGCAGCAGUGGGGAAUAUUGCACAAUGGGGGA